GGGAGAGUAGUGCAACCAUCAAUUACCGCGUUAACACGACGUUUAUGGGACGGUCGUAAUCAUUUGACACGUGUCUCGCUAACGACGGCCUCAAAGUAAAUAAAUAAAGGCAGUUGCUGAGUGACACACGGCUGAGCUCUGAUUGGUUGCUUUCUUGACUCUUGUGACUAACACGUGGGACCCUGGUAUUCGUGGAGUUACAUAAUACACGGCUUUCAAGAAAAGUUUGAUUGGACAGCUGGGGCCCCCGAUGGCCGGCGAAUCUUCGUCGUUCUUGACUUGUUGCAGAUGGGGGAGAGGAGUUAGGGGAAUUGUAGUGUCGACGCGUGUACAGUGAAGGUGGGGUCAGGAUGCUGUUUGGGGACCAGUUUUAGAGAUAAUGUAAAAAGUCCAAACCAAACCAAACUCUCUCUCUGAAAAGGAAAAGAUUAGAUUGAGAAAGUUUCGCAGGGAUGAAAGGUGGGCGUUCCGCGUGAGGUGGCACGUGGGAUGGAGGCGUUUGUCUGGGAUACCAUUCACCUUUGCCUAACUCACCCUUUUUCUUUCUUUCUUUCAAAUAUUCCUGCAUAAAUAAUAAGUCAUUCUGUUUGCUUUUUGUUCAUUGCUACAAUUCUCUCUGUAUUGGGGCGUUUCUGGGCUGAACAAUAACGUAGUUGGCCUUAAGUAUUUGUAACAUGUAAUUUUGAUUAAUAAAAUAUUCACUUUACAUUUA
This 712-nucleotide long non-coding RNA is filed under the name Panax ginseng (ginseng). RNAcentral describes it as "long non-coding RNA (PGIN_LNC006557)". Lineage: Eukaryota; Viridiplantae; Streptophyta; Magnoliopsida; Apiales; Araliaceae. The record is from RNAcentral.